CACACUAUCAUUAACUGAAUCCAUAGGUUAAUGAGGCGAACCGGGGGAACUGAAACAUCUAAGUACCCCGAGGAAAAGAAAUCAACCGAGAUUCCCCCAGUAGCGGCGAGCGAACGGGGAGCAGCCCAGAGCCUGAAUCAGUGUGUGUGUUAGUGGAAGCGUCUGGAAAGGCGCGCGAUACAGGGUGACAGCCCCGUACACAAAAAUGCACAUACUGUGAGCUCGAUGAGUAGGGCGGGACACGUGGUAUCCUGUCUGAAUAUGGGGGGACCAUCCUCCAAGGCUAAAUACUCCUGACUGACCGAUAGUGAACCAGUACCGUGAGGGAAAGGCGAAAAGAACCCCGGCGAGGGGAGUGAAAAAGAACCUGAAACCGUGUACGUACAAGCAGUGGGAGCCUCUUAAUGGGGUGACUGCGUACCUUUUGUAUAAUGGGUCAGCGACUUAUAUUCUGUAGCAAGGUUAACCGAAUAGGGGAGCCGAAGGGAAACCGAGUCUUAACUGGGCGUUAAGUUGCAGGGUAUAGACCCGAAACCCGGUGAUCUAGCCAUGGGCAGGUUGAAGGUUGGGUAACACUAACUGGAGGACCGAACCGACUAAUGUUGAAAAAUUAGCGGAUGACUUGUGGCUGGGGGUGAAAGGCCAAUCAAACCGGGAGAUAGCUGGUUCUCCCCGAAAGCUAUUUAGGUAGCGCCUCGUGAAUUCAUCUCCGGGGGUAGAGCACUGUUUCGGCAAGGGGGUCAUCCCGACUUACCAACCCGAUGCAAACUGCGAAUACCGGAGAAUGUUAUCACGGGAGACACACGGCGGGUGCUAACGUCCGUCGUGAAGAGGGAAACAACCCAGACCGCCAGCUAAGGUCCCAAAGUCAUGGUUAAGUGGGAAACGAUGUGGGAAGGCCCAGACAGCCAGGAUGUUGGCUUAGAAGCAGCCAUCAUUUAAAGAAAGCGUAAUAGCUCACUGGUCGAGUCGGCCUGCGCGGAAGAUGUAACGGGGCUAAACCAUGCACCGAAGCUGCGGCAGCGACACUAUGUGUUGUUGGGUAGGGGAGCGUUCUGUAAGCCUGUGAAGGUGUACUGUGAGGUAUGCUGGAGGUAUCAGAAGUGCGAAUGCUGACAUAAGUAACGAUAAAGCGGGUGAAAAGCCCGCUCGCCGGAAGACCAAGGGUUCCUGUCCAACGUUAAUCGGGGCAGGGUGAGUCGACCCCUAAGGCGAGGCCGAAAGGCGUAGUCGAUGGGAAACAGGUUAAUAUUCCUGUACUUGGUGUUACUGCGAAGGGGGGACGGAGAAGGCUAUGUUGGCCGGGCGACGGUUGUCCCGGUUUAAGCGUGUAGGCUGGUUUUCCAGGCAAAUCCGGAAAACUAAGGCUGAGGCGUGAUGACGAGGCACUACGGUGCUGAAGCAACAAAUGCCCUGCUUCCAGGAAAAGCCUCUAAGCAUCAGGUAACAUCAAAUCGUACCCCAAACCGACACAGGUGGUCAGGUAGAGAAUACCAAGGCGCUUGAGAGAACUCGGGUGAAGGAACUAGGCAAAAUGGUGCCGUAACUUCGGGAGAAGGCACGCUGAUAUGUAGGUGAAGUCCCUCGCGGAUGGAGCUGAAAUCAGUCGAAGAUACCAGCUGGCUGCAACUGUUUAUUAAAAACACAGCACUGUGCAAACACGAAAGUGGACGUAUACGGUGUGACGCCUGCCCGGUGCCGGAAGGUUAAUUGAUGGGGUUAGCGGUAACGCGAAGCUCUUGAUCGAAGCCCCGGUAAACGGCGGCCGUAACUAUAACGGUCCUAAGGUAGCGAAAUUCCUUGUCGGGUAAGUUCCGACCUGCACGAAUGGCGUAAUGAUGGCCAGGCUGUCUCCACCCGAGACUCAGUGAAAUUGAACUCGCUGUGAAGAUGCAGUGUACCCGCGGCAAGACGGAAAGACCCCGUGAACCUUUACUAUAGCUUGACACUGAACAUUGAGCCUUGAUGUGUAGGAUAGGUGGGAGGCUUUGAAGUGUGGACGCCAGUCUGCAUGGAGCCGGCCUUGAAAUACCACCCUUUAAUGUUUGAUGUUCUAACGUUGGCCCCUGAUCGGGGUUGCGGACAGUGUCUGGUGGGUAGUUUGACUGGGGCGGUCUCCUCCUAAAGAGUAACGGAGGAGCACGAAGGUUGGCUAAUCCUGGUCGGACAUCAGGAGGUUAGUGCAAUGGCAUAAGCCAGCUUGACUGCGAGCGUGACGGCGCGAGCAGGUGCGAAAGCAGGUCAUAGUGAUCCGGUGGUUCUGAAUGGAAGGGCCAUCGCUCAACGGAUAAAAGGUACUCCGGGGAUAACAGGCUGAUACCGCCCAAGAGUUCAUAUCGACGGCGGUGUUUGGCACCUCGAUGUCGGCUCAUCACAUCCUGGGGCUGAAGUAGGUCCCAAGGGUAUGGCUGUUCGCCAUUUAAAGUGGUACGCGAGCUGGGUUUAGAACGUCGUGAGACAGUUCGGUCCCUAUCUGCCGUGGGCGCUGGAGAACUGAGGGGGGCUGCUCCUAGUACGAGAGGACCGGAGUGGACGCAUCACUGGUGUUCGGGUUGUCAUGCCAAUGGCACUGCCCGGUAGCUAAAUGCGGAAGAGAUAAGUGCUGAAAGCAUCUAAGCACGAAACUUGCCCCGAGAUGAGUUCUCCCUGACUCCUUGAG
Molecule: ribosomal RNA, 2659 nt
Filed under: Escherichia coli
Lineage: Bacteria; Pseudomonadati; Pseudomonadota; Gammaproteobacteria; Enterobacterales; Enterobacteriaceae
Description: partial 23S ribosomal RNA
Rfam family: Bacterial large subunit ribosomal RNA
Source: RNAcentral